UACGUUUGAAAUCUCUACUGAAACUCUACAGAAAAUUCCUCUCAAACCCUAGCCACCUCCUUUCUCUAUCUCUUUUACAUAAGGCUCUGGUCGCUCAGUUUACACAUUAAACACCUCCUGUACCCUAUUUUAGCUAUCGUUUCUCUACGGAUCGAUUGAACUGACUUAGGCAUCGGAGGGCCUUUGGCCAACACCCCCCGGGUGUGGUCCUCUUAUUUGUUCUAUUUUGCAUGGAGAAAGAGGCGGCGAAGAAGAAAAGGGAAUCUUUCAAACCGAAUAUUCUCGUGGGGGAAAUUUGCUCCCACAACCACCACCACCUUCACCUCCAUCUCUUUCACCAUCACCCUCACUCCACUACCACCACUACUACCACCACAUGAUUAGCAUAUAACACUUUCAAC
RNAcentral lists this long non-coding RNA (401 nucleotides) under Prunus persica (peach). Its description in RNAcentral is "long non-coding RNA (PPER_LNC008145)". Lineage: Eukaryota; Viridiplantae; Streptophyta; Magnoliopsida; Rosales; Rosaceae. The record is from RNAcentral.